AGUCGAACGAACUCUGGUAUUGAUUGGUGCUUGCAUCAUGAUUUACAUUUGAGUGAGUGGCGAACUGGUGAGUAACACGUGGGAAACCUGCCCAGAAGCGGGGGAUAACACCUGGAAACAGAUGCUAAUACCGCAUAACAACUUGGACCGCAUGGUCCGAGUUUGAAAGAUGGCUUCGGCUAUCACUUUUGGAUGGUCCCGCGGCGUAUUAGCUAGAUGGUGGGGUAACGGCUCACCAUGGCAAUGAUACGUAGCCGACCUGAGAGGGUAAUCGGCCACAUUGGGACUGAGACACGGCCCAAACUCCUACGGGAGGCAGCAGUAGGGAAUCUUCCACAAUGGACGAAAGUCUGAUGGAGCAACGCCGCGUGAGUGAAGAAGGGUUUCGGCUCGUAAAACUCUGUUGUUAAAGAAGAACAUAUCUGAGAGUAACUGUUCAGGUAUUGACGGUAUUUAACCAGAAAGCCACGGCUAACUACGUGCCAGCAGCCGCGGUAAUACGUAGGUGGCAAGCGUUGUCCGGAUUUAUUGGGCGUAAAGCGAGCGCAGGCGGUUUUUUAAGUCUGAUGUGAAAGCCUUCGGCUCAACCGAAGAAGUGCAUCGGAAACUGGGAAACUUGAGUGCAGAAGAGGACAGUGGAACUCCAUGUGUAGCGGUGAAAUGCGUAGAUAUAUGGAAGAACACCAGUGGCGAAGGCGGCUGUCUGGUCUGUAACUGACGCUGAGGCUCGAAAGUAUGGGUAGCAAACAGGAUUAGAUACCCUGGUAGUCCAUACCGUAAACGAUGAAUGCUAAGUGUUGGAGGGUUUCCGCCCUUCAGUGCUGCAGCUAACGCAUUAAGCAUUCCGCCUGGGGAGUACGGCCGCAAGGCUGAAACUCAAAGGAAUUGACGGGGGCCCGCACAAGCGGUGGAGCAUGUGGUUUAAUUCGAAGCUACGCGAAGAACCUUACCAGGUCUUGACAUACUAUGCAAAUCUAAGAGAUUAGACGUUCCCUUCGGGGACAUGGAUACAGGUGGUGCAUGGUUGUCGUCAGCUCGUGUCGUGAGAUGUUGGGUUAAGUCCCGCAACGAGCGCAACCCUUAUUAUCAGUUGCCAGCAUUAAGUUGGGCACUCUGGUGAGACUGCCGGUGACAAACCGGAGGAAGGUGGGGAUGACGUCAAAUCAUCAUGCCCCUUAUGACCUGGGCUACACACGUGCUACAAUGGAUGGUACAACGAGUUGCGAACUCGCGAGAGUAAGCUAAUCUCUUAAAGCCAUUCUCAGUUCGGAUUGUAGGCUGCAACUCGCCUACAUGAAGUCGGAAUCGCUUGUAAUCGCGGAUCAGCA
This 1328-nucleotide ribosomal RNA is filed under the name Lactiplantibacillus paraplantarum. Its description in RNAcentral is "bacterial SSU rRNA". It matches the Rfam family "Bacterial small subunit ribosomal RNA", at positions 60 to 1354 of the family's 1533-position model. The record is from RNAcentral. Lineage: Bacteria; Bacillati; Bacillota; Bacilli; Lactobacillales; Lactobacillaceae.